Molecule: ribosomal RNA, 516 nt
Filed under: uncultured Glomeromycotina
Lineage: Eukaryota; Fungi; Glomeromycota
Description: SSU rRNA
Rfam family: Eukaryotic small subunit ribosomal RNA
Source: RNAcentral
AGCAGCCGCGGUAAUUCCAGCUCCAAUAGCGUAUAUUAAAGUUGUUGCAGUUAAAAAGCUCGUAGUUGAAUUUCGGGAUCAGUACGCUGGUCGUGCCUCCGGUAUGUACUGGUGUCACUGAUUCCUCCCUUCUGAAGAACCAUCAUGCCAUUCACUUGGUGUGGUGGGGAAUCAGGACUGUUACUUUGAAAAAUUAGAGUGUUUAAAGCAGGCUCGCGCUUGAAUACAUUAGCAUGGAAUAAUGAAAUAGGACGUUUAUCCUAUUUUGUUGGUUUCUAGGAUUGACGUAAUGAUUAAUAGGGAUAGUUGGGGGCAUUAGUAUUCAAUUGUCAGAGGUGAAAUUCUUGGAUUUAUUGAAGACUAACUACUGCGAAAGCAUUUGCCAAGGAUGUUUUCAUUAAUCAAGAACGAAAGUUAGGGGAUCGAAGACGAUCAGAUACCGUCGUAGUCUUAACCAUAAACUAUGCCGACUAGGGAUCGGAUGAUGUUAAUUUUUAAUGUACUCAUUCGGUACCG